UGGCUCUCGCAUCGAUGAAGAACGCAGCGAAAUGCGAUAAGUAAUGUGAAUUGCAGAUUUUCAGUGAAUCAUCGAAUCUUUGAACGCACCUUGCGCCCCAUGGUAUUCUGUGGGGCAUGCCUGUUUGAGUGUCAUGAAAUUAUCAACCCUCUGAAGUUUCACAACUAAGGAGUUGGAUUGGACUUGUGGCGUGCCAGUCAAUAAUAAUUGAUUGGCUCCCAUUUAAAUGUAUUAGCAGAGCCACUCCCCUCCGGCUAGCAUUGACGUGAUAAUUCUCUUGCGUCGCUGUUUCCGGUCUUAGAGUCUGCUUAUAAUGAUCUCUCUGGAGAUAAAUCUUGACAAUUUGACCUCAAAUCAGGUAGGAUUACCCGCUGA
Molecule: unclassified non-coding RNA, 375 nt
Filed under: uncultured fungus
Lineage: Eukaryota; Fungi
Description: partial contains 5.8S ribosomal RNA and internal transcribed spacer 2
Rfam family: 5.8S ribosomal RNA (bases 1-134)
Source: RNAcentral